This 489-nucleotide ribosomal RNA is filed under the name uncultured bacterium. Its description in RNAcentral is "partial 16S ribosomal RNA". It matches the Rfam family "Bacterial small subunit ribosomal RNA", at positions 28 to 507 of the family's 1533-position model. The record is from RNAcentral.
GACGAACGCUGGCGGCGUGCUUAACACAUGCAAGUCGAACGGAAAGGCCCCCAUCUUGGUGGAGGUGCUCGAGUGGCGAACGGGUGAGUAACACGUGGGUGAUCUGCCCUGUACUUCGGGAUAAGCUUGGGAAACUGGGUCUAAUACCGGAUAGGACCAUGGUUUAGUGUCUCAUGGUGGAAAGAUUAUUGUUUUGGUGCAGGAUGAGCUCGCGGCCUAUCAGCUUGUUGGUGGGGUAAUGGCCUACCAAGGCGUCGACGGGUAGCCGGCCUGAGAGGGUGGACGGCCACAUUGGGACUGAGAUACGGCCCAGACUCCUACGGGAGGCAGCAGUGGGGAAUAUUGCACAAUGGGCGCAAGCCUGAUGCAGCGACGCCGCGUGGGGGAUGACGGCCUUCGGGUUGUAAACUCCUUUCGUUAGGGACGAAGCCGCACUUUUUUGGGGUGUGGUGACGGUACCUUUGUGAAGAAGCACCGGCUAACUACGUG